UACAGAGGUCCCAAGCGUUGUUCGGAUUCACUGGGCGUAAAGGGUGCGCAGGUGGUCGGGCAAGUCUGAUGUGAAAUCUCCGAGCUCAACUCGGAAAUGGCAUUGGAUACUAUUCGGCUAGAGGGUUGGAGGGGGGACUGGAAUUCUCGGUGUGGCAGUGAAAUGCGUAGAUAUCGAGAGGAACACCAGUGGCGAAGGCGAGUCCCUGGACAACUCCUGACGCUGAGGCACGAAAGCUAGGGGAGCAAACAGG
This 253-nucleotide ribosomal RNA is filed under the name uncultured bacterium. RNAcentral's name for it is "partial 16S ribosomal RNA". It matches the Rfam family "Bacterial small subunit ribosomal RNA", at positions 524 to 776 of the family's 1533-position model. The record is from RNAcentral.